UACAGGGGGUGCAAACGCUGCUCGGAAUCAUUGGGCGUAAAGCGCACGUAGGCGGUCUGUUAUGUCGGAUGUGAAAGCCCUUGGCUCAACUGAGGAAGUGCAUCCGAAACUGGCAGGCUAGAGUACUAAAGAGGAUCGCGGAAUUCCCGGUGUAGAGGUGAAAUUCGUAGAUAUCGGGAGGAACACCGGUGGCGAGGGCGGCGAUCUGGGUAGAUACUGACGCUGAGGUGCGAAAGCGUGGGGAGCAAACAGG
This 253-nucleotide ribosomal RNA is filed under the name uncultured bacterium. RNAcentral's name for it is "partial 16S ribosomal RNA". It matches the Rfam family "Bacterial small subunit ribosomal RNA", at positions 524 to 776 of the family's 1533-position model. The record is from RNAcentral.